CGGGGUGAGCGGCGGACGGGUUAGUAACGCGUGGGAAUAUGCCCAAAGGUACGGAAUAGCCUCUGGAAACGGAGAGUAAUACCGUAUGUGCCCUUCGGGGGAAAGAUUUAUCGCCUUUGGAUUAGCCCGCGUUAGAUUAGGUAGUUGGUGGGGUAAUGGCCUACCAAGCCUACGAUCUAUAGCUGGUUUUAGAGGAUGAUCAGCAACACUGGGACUGAGACACGGCCCAGACUCCUACGGGAGGCAGCAGUGGGGAAUCUUGGACAAUGGGGGCAACCCUGAUCCAGCCAUGCCGCGUGAGUGAUGAAGGCCUUAGGGUCGUAAAGCUCUUUCGCCUGUGAAGAUAAUGACGGUAGCAGGUAAAGAAACCCCGGCUAACUCCGUGCCAGCAGCCGCGGUAAUACGGAGGGGGUUAGCGUUGUUCGGAAUUACUGGGCGUAAAGCGCACGUAGGCGGAUCGGAAAGUUGGGGGUGAAAUCCCGGGGCUCAACCCCGGAACUGCCUCCAAAACUAUCGGUCUAGAGUUCGAGAGAGGUGAGUGGAAUUCCGAGUGUAGAGGUGAAAUUCGUAGAUAUUCGGA
Molecule: ribosomal RNA, 580 nt
Filed under: Rhodobacteraceae bacterium GUDS1173
Lineage: Bacteria; Pseudomonadati; Pseudomonadota; Alphaproteobacteria; Rhodobacterales; Paracoccaceae
Description: bacterial SSU rRNA
Rfam family: Bacterial small subunit ribosomal RNA
Source: RNAcentral